GGGAUUGUGGCUCAGUGGUAGAUAGAGCACUCACCUAGCACGUGAGAGGCCCUGGGUUCGAUCCUCAGCACCA
This 73-nucleotide transfer RNA is filed under the name Ictidomys tridecemlineatus (thirteen-lined ground squirrel). RNAcentral describes it as "Spermophilus tridecemlineatus (thirteen-lined ground squirrel) tRNA". It matches the Rfam family "tRNA". Rfam says of the family: Transfer RNA (tRNA) molecules are approximately 80 nucleotides in length. Their secondary structure includes four short double-helical elements and three loops (D, anti-codon, and T loops). Further hydrogen bonds mediate the characteristic L-shaped molecular structure. tRNAs have two regions of fundamental functional importance: the anti-codon, which is responsible for specific mRNA codon recognition, and the 3' end, to which the tRNAs corresponding amino acid is attached (by aminoacyl-tRNA synthetases). tRNAs cope with the degeneracy of the genetic code in two manners: having more than one tRNA (with a specific anti-codon) for a particular amino acid; and 'wobble' base-pairing, i.e. permitting non-standard base-pairing at the 3rd anti-codon position. Lineage: Eukaryota; Metazoa; Chordata; Mammalia; Rodentia; Sciuridae. The record is from Rfam by way of RNAcentral.